CCUACGGGAGGCAGCAGUGAGGAAUAUUGGUCAAUGGACGAGAGUCUGAACCAGCCAAGUAGCGUGAAGGAUGACUGCCCUAUGGGUUGUAAACUUCUUUUAUAAAGGAAUAAAACGAGGCACGUGUGCCUUUUUGCAUGUACUUUAUGAAGAAGGAUCGGCUAACUCCGUGCCAGCAGCCGCGGUAAUACGGAGGAUCCGAGCGUUUUCCGGAUUUCUUGGGUUUAAAGGGAGCGUAGAUGGGUUGUUAAGUCAGUUGUGAAAGUUUGCGGCUCAACCGUAAAAUUGCAAUUGAUACUGGCAGUCUUGAGUACAGGUGAGGUAGGCGGAAUUCGUGGUGUAGCGGUGAAAUGCUUAGAUAUCACGAAGAACCCCGAUUGCGAAGGCAGCUUACUAAACUGUGACUGACAUUGAUGCGCGAAAGUGUGGGUAUCAAACAGGAUUAGAUACCCCGGUAGUC
Molecule: ribosomal RNA, 460 nt
Filed under: uncultured bacterium
Lineage: Bacteria
Description: partial 16S ribosomal RNA
Rfam family: Bacterial small subunit ribosomal RNA
Source: RNAcentral